Molecule: ribosomal RNA, 356 nt
Filed under: uncultured eukaryote
Lineage: Eukaryota
Description: LSU rRNA
Rfam family: Bacterial large subunit ribosomal RNA
Source: RNAcentral
CUCUCAGCUUAUUUUGCGCAGCUUAGGUGGGAGGCUAUGAACCUUUUCUUCUGGGAAGAGGGGAGCCGUCAGUGAGAUACCACUCUUGGUAAGCUAGAGCGCUCAGUCUUAACCGUCAUCCGGUAAGACGACAGUUUCAGGCGGGCAGUUUGACUGGGGCAGUCACCUCCCAAAAGGUAAUGGAGGUGUGCAAAGGUUCCCUCAGGCUGGACGGAAAUCAGCCAUAGAGUGUAAAAGCAAAAGGGAGCUUGACUGCGAGACUGACAUGUCAAGCAGAGACGAAAGUCGGCUUUAGUGAUCCGACGGUGCUGUGUGGAAAGGCCGUCGCUCAACGGAUAAAAGUUACUCUAGGGAUA